GUUGAAACACCAGUUCCAGUACGAUCACCGAAGUUAAGUAACAUCGAGCCUGGUCAGUACUUAGAUGGGUGACUGCUUAGGAAUACCAAGCGCUGUAAG
Molecule: non-coding RNA, 99 nt
Organism: Acanthosepion pharaonis
Lineage: Eukaryota; Metazoa; Mollusca; Cephalopoda; Sepiida; Sepiidae
Source: the annotation of a GenBank genome assembly